RNAcentral lists this ribosomal RNA (192 nucleotides) under uncultured bacterium. RNAcentral describes it as "partial 16S ribosomal RNA". It matches the Rfam family "Bacterial small subunit ribosomal RNA", at positions 328 to 538 of the family's 1533-position model. The record is from RNAcentral.
ACGCUCGACACCUACUGGAGGCAGCAGUGGGGAAUAUUGCACAAUGGGGGAAACCCUGAUGCAGCGACGCCGCGUGAGCGAAGAAGUAUUUCGGUAUGUAAAGCUCUAUCAGCAGGGAAGAAACUGACGGUACCUGACUAAGAAGCACCGGCUAAAUACGUGCCNNNCGCGAGUAUGNGNGGCGUGNGAGAG